GGACCCGCACAAGCGGUGGAUGAUGUGGUUUAAUUCGAUGCAACGCGAAAAACCUUACCCACCUUUGACAUGUACGGAAUCCUUUAGAGAUAGAGGAGUGCUCGAAAGAGAGCCGUAACACAGGUGCUGCAUGGCUGUCGUCAGCUCGUGUCGUGAGAUGUUGGGUUAAGUCCCGCAACGAGCGCAACCCUUGCCAUUAGUUGCUACGAAAGGGCACUCUAAUGGGACUGCCGGUGACAAACCGGAGGAAGGUGGGGAUGACGUCAAGUCCUCAUGGCCCUUAUAGGUGGGGCUACACACGUCAUACAAUGGCUGGUACAAAGGGUUGCCAACCCGCGAGGGGGAGCUAAUCCCAUAAAGCCAGUCGUAGUCCGGAUCGCAGUCUGCAACUCGACUGCGUGAAGUCGGAAUCGCUAGUAAUCGUGGAUCAGAAUGUCACGGUGAAUACGUUCCCGGGUCUU
This 461-nucleotide ribosomal RNA is filed under the name uncultured bacterium. RNAcentral describes it as "bacterial SSU rRNA". It matches the Rfam family "Bacterial small subunit ribosomal RNA", at positions 917 to 1382 of the family's 1533-position model. The record is from RNAcentral.